Molecule: ribosomal RNA, 455 nt
Filed under: uncultured bacterium
Lineage: Bacteria
Description: bacterial SSU rRNA
Rfam family: Bacterial small subunit ribosomal RNA
Source: RNAcentral
AGGUGCUGCACGGCUGUCGUCAGCUCGUGUCGUGAGAUGUUGGGUUAAGUCCCGCAACGAGCGCAACCCUCGUCACUAGUUACUAACAGUUAGGCUGAGGACUCUAGUGAGACUGCCUUCGUAAGGAGGAGGAAGGUGAGGACGACGUCAAGUCGUCAUGGCCCUUACGGCUAGGGCAACACACGUGCUACAAUGGUUAGGACAGUGAGAAGCGAUACCGCGAGGUGGAGCCAAUCUAUAAACCUAAUCUCAGUUCGGAUUGUAGUCUGCAACUCGACUACAUGAAGCUGGAAUCACUAGUAAUCGUAGAUCAGCUAUGCUACGGUGAAUACGUUCCCGGGUCUUGUACUCACCGCCCGUCACACCAUGGGAGUUGAUUUCACCCGAAGCGGGGAAGCUAAACUGGCUACCCUCCACGGUGGAAUUAGCGACUGGGGUGAAGUCGUAACAAGGUA